GUAUUAGGCAACAGUUGGUUACCGGGUGGUACUGAUAAUGCCAAGGUUGCAGGUUCAAUCCCUGUAUGGGACA
Podarcis lilfordi (Lilford's wall lizard) is the source of this 73-nucleotide non-coding RNA. Lineage: Eukaryota; Metazoa; Chordata; Lepidosauria; Squamata; Lacertidae. The record is from the annotation of a GenBank genome assembly.